ACGUAAGGGGCGAGCGUUGUUCGGAAUUAUUGGGUGUAAAGGGCGCGUAGGCGGUCUGGCAAGUCUGGAGUUGAAGGCUACGGCUUAACUGUAGUUUGGCGGUGGAAACUGCUGGGCUUGAGUUUAGGAGGGGGAGCUGGGAUUCCAGGUGUAGGGGGGAAAUCUGUAGAUAUCUGGAAGAACACCGUUGGCGAAGGCGGGCUCCUGGCCAUAGACGGACACUGAGUCGCGAGAGCGUGGGGAGCGAAGAG
Molecule: ribosomal RNA, 251 nt
Filed under: uncultured prokaryote
Description: partial 16S rRNA
Rfam family: Bacterial small subunit ribosomal RNA
Source: RNAcentral